This 28-nucleotide small RNA is filed under the name Bombyx mori (domestic silkworm). Its description in RNAcentral is "ovarian small RNA-3644". The record is from RNAcentral. Lineage: Eukaryota; Metazoa; Arthropoda; Insecta; Lepidoptera; Bombycidae.
UGAGACAAUAAAACUGUGCCACGAACAA